Molecule: ribosomal RNA, 467 nt
Filed under: uncultured bacterium
Lineage: Bacteria
Description: partial 16S ribosomal RNA
Rfam family: Bacterial small subunit ribosomal RNA
Source: RNAcentral
GACGAACGCUGGCGGCGUGCUUAACACAUGCAAGUCGAACGGAAAGGCCCUGCUUUUGUGGGGUGCUCGAGUGGCGAACGGGUGAGUAACACGUGAGUAACCUGCCCUUGACUUUGGGAUAACUUCAGGAAACUGGGGCUAAUACCGGAUAGGAGCUCCUGCUGCAUGGUGGGGGUUGGAAAGUUUCGGCGGUUGGGGAUGGACUCGCGGCUUAUCAGCUUGUUGGUGGGGUAGUGGCUUACCAAGGCUUUGACGGGUAGCCGGCCUGAGAGGGUGACCGGCCACAUUGGGACUGAGAUACGGCCCAGACUCCUACGGGAGGCAGCAGUGGGGAAUAUUGCACAAUGGGCGGAAGCCUGAUGCAGCAACGCCGCGUGCGGGAUGACGGCCUUCGGGUUGUAAACCGCUUUCGCCUGUGACGAAGCGUGAGUGAAGGUAAUGGGGAAAGAAGCACCGGCGAACUACGU